RNAcentral lists this ribosomal RNA (480 nucleotides) under uncultured bacterium. Its description in RNAcentral is "partial 16S ribosomal RNA". It matches the Rfam family "Bacterial small subunit ribosomal RNA", at positions 29 to 507 of the family's 1533-position model. The record is from RNAcentral.
AUGAACGCUGGCGGCGUGCUUAACACCUGCAAGUCGAACGAAGCACUUUAUUUGAUUUCCUUCGGGACUGAUUAUUUUGUGACUGAGUGGCGGACGGGUGAGUAACGCGUGGGUAACCUGCCUUGUACAGGGGGAUAACAGUUGGAAACGGCUGCUAAUACCGCAUAAGCGCACAGCAUCGCAUGAUGCAGUGUGAAAAACUCCGGUGGUAUAAGAUGGACCCGCGUUGGAUUAGCUAGUUGGUGAGGUAACGGCCCACCAAGGCGACGAUCCAUAGCCGAACCUGGAGGGCGACCGGCCAAAUUGGGAAUGAGACACGGCCCAAACUCCCACGGGAGGCAGGAGGUGGGAAUAUUGCACAAUGGGCGAAAGCCUGAUGCAGCGACGGCGCGUGAGCGAAGAAGUAUUUCGGUAUGGAAAGCUCUAUCAGCAGGGAAGAUAAUGACGGUACCUGACUAAGAAGCACCGGCUAAAUACGUG